Molecule: long non-coding RNA, 475 nt
Filed under: Pongo abelii (Sumatran orangutan)
Lineage: Eukaryota; Metazoa; Chordata; Mammalia; Primates; Hominidae
Description: lincRNA
Source: RNAcentral
GACCCCAAAUGCAGAGGAGCCCCUUGAACUCUUAGUUGCUGGUGGCUCCCCAGGUGCCACCUCCUGAGUCCUGGUUCCUGCGGCUCCAUCAAAUCUGCAGUGAAGGCCUUUGGGAAGCAUGGGUUAUGUGGGUUCAGGGGUCCCACCCUCCCGUGGAGGCCCUUGGCCUGAGGAUCACUAACUCACUCCCCACCGACCUCUGGCCCCCAACAAGGGCAGUGUUCCUCUUGCUCCAUUCUGCUCUGAAGUCCCCCAAACCACUUCCUGGGGCUGUUGAGUGAAAUACAAGGCUCAUCUCUGAGGACCUCUACAGGGCUGGAUGGGAAGGACUGAUCCACAUUCCCACCAGGAAGUUUAGCGGAACCCCCGCAUGCCACCUGGACCCCCUGGAAGGACCUGGCCAAGGCUGGAGCACCUCUUGAGAGGCAGGAGCUCCGGAUUUGAUCAAGAAUUCUUGGCUGAGCAUGGUGCCUCA